Molecule: ribosomal RNA, 497 nt
Filed under: uncultured bacterium
Lineage: Bacteria
Description: partial 16S ribosomal RNA
Rfam family: Bacterial small subunit ribosomal RNA
Source: RNAcentral
GAUGAACGCUGGCGGCGUGCCUAAUACAUGCAAGUCGAGCGAACAGACGAGGAGCUUGCUCCUCUGACGUUAGCGUCGGACGGGUGAGUAACACGUGGAUAACCUACCUAUAAGACUGGGAUAACUUCGGGAAACCGGAGCUAAUACCGGAUAAUAUAUUGAACCGCAUGGUUCAAUAGUGAAAGACGGUUUUGCUGUCACUUAUAGAUGGAUCCUCGCCGCAUUAGCUAGUUGUUAAGGUAACGGCUUACCAAGGCAACGAUGCGUAGCCGACCUGAGAGGGUGAUCUGCCACACUGGAACUGAGACACGGUCCAGACUCCUACGGGAGGCAGCAGUAGGGAAUCUUCCGCAAUGGGCGAAAGCCUGACGGAGCAACGCCGCGUGAGUGAUGAAGGUCUUCGGAUCGUAAAACUCUGUUAUUAGGGAAGAACAAAUGUGUAAGUAACUAUGCACGUCUUGACGGUACCUAAUCAGAAAGCCACGGCUAACUACGUG